This 400-nucleotide ribosomal RNA is filed under the name marine bacterium SIMO-IS145. RNAcentral's name for it is "bacterial SSU rRNA". It matches the Rfam family "Bacterial small subunit ribosomal RNA", at positions 46 to 492 of the family's 1533-position model. The record is from RNAcentral. Lineage: Bacteria; Pseudomonadati; Pseudomonadota; Alphaproteobacteria.
GCUUAACACAUGCAAGUCGAACGCAUCCUUCGGGGUGAGUGGCAGACGGGUGAGUAACGCGUGGGAAUCUACCCAUCUCUACGGGAUAGCUCCGGGAAACUGGAAUUAAUACCGUAUACGUCCUCCGGGAGAAAGAUUUAUCGGGGAUGGAUGAGCCCGCGUUGGAUUAGCUAGUUGGUGGGGUAAAAGCCUACCAAGGCGACGAUCCAUAGCUGGUCUAAGAGGAUGAUCAGCCACAUUGGGACUGAGACACGGCCCAAACUCCUACGGGAGGCAGCAGUGGGGAAUAUUGGACAAUGGGCGCAAGCCUGAUCCAGCCAUGCCGCGUGAGUGAUGAAGGCCCUAGGGUUGUAAAGCUCUUUCACCGGUGACGAUAAUGACGGUAACCGGAGAAGAAGCC